CCUACGGGAGGCAGCAGUGGGGAAUUUUCCGCAAUGGGCGAAAGCCUGACGGAGCAAUACCGCGUGAGGGAUGAAGGCCUAUGGGUUGUAAACCUCUUUUUUCAGGGAGGAAUAAAUGACGUGUACCUGAAGAAUAAGCAUCGGCUAACUCCGUGCCAGCAGCCGCGGUAAGACGGGGGAUGCAAGUGUUAUCCGGAAUCACUGGGCGUAAAGCGUCUGUAGGUGGUUAAAUAAGUCAACUGUUAAAUCUUGAGGCUUAACUUCAAAAUCGCAGUCGAAACUGUUUGACUAGAGUAUAGUAGGGGUAAAGGGAAUUUCCAGUGGAGCGGUGAAAUGCGUAGAUAUUGGAAAGAACACCGAUGGCGAAGGCACUUUACUGGGCUAUUACUAACACUGAGAGACGAAAGCUAGGGUAGCAAAUGGGAUUAGAUACCCCAGUAGUCCUAGCUGUAAACAAUGGAUACUAGAUGUUGAACAGAUCGACCUGUGCAGUAUCAAAGCUAACGCGUUAAGUAUCCCGCCUGGGAAGUAUGCUCGCAAGAGUGAAACUNAAAUGAAGUAAGUGUGAGAGUGCGAGACGACGACGAGGAGAGG
Molecule: ribosomal RNA, 594 nt
Filed under: uncultured bacterium
Lineage: Bacteria
Description: bacterial SSU rRNA
Rfam family: Bacterial small subunit ribosomal RNA
Source: RNAcentral